Molecule: ribosomal RNA, 495 nt
Filed under: uncultured bacterium
Lineage: Bacteria
Description: partial 16S ribosomal RNA
Rfam family: Bacterial small subunit ribosomal RNA
Source: RNAcentral
GACGAACGCUGGCGGCGUGCCUAAUACAUGCAAGUAGAACGCUGAAGGAGGAGCUUGCUUCUCUGGAUGAGUUGCGAACGGGUGAGUAACGCGUAGGUAACCUGCCUGGUAGCGGGGGAUAACUAUUGGAAACGAUAGCUAAUACCGCAUAAUAGUAGAUGUUGCAUGACAUUUGCUUAAAAGGUGCAAUUGCAUCACUACCAGAUGGAACUGCGUUGUAUUAGCUAGUUGGUGGGGUAACGGCUCACCAAGGCGACGAUACAUAGUCGACCUGAGAGGGGUAACGGCCCCACUGGGACUGAGACACGGCCCAGACUCCUACGGGAGGCAGCAGUAGGGAAUCUUCGGCAAUGGACGGAAGUCUUACCGAGCAACGCCGCGUGAGGGAAGAAGGUUUUCGGAUCGUAAAGCUCUGUUGUAAGAGAAGAACGAGUGUGAGAGUGGAAAGUUCACACUGUGACGGUAUCUUACCAGAAAGGGACGGCUAACUACGUG